UACGAAGGGGGCUAGCGUUGCUCGGAAUCACUGGGCGUAAAGCGCACGUAGGCGGCUUUUUAAGUCAGGGGUGAAAUCCUGGAGCUCAACUCCAGAACUGCCUUUGAUACUGAGAAGCUUGAGUCCGGGAGAGGCGAGUGGAACUGCGAGUGUAGAGGUGAAAUUCGUAGAUAUUCGCAAGAACACCAGUGGCGAAGGCGGCUCACUGGCCCGGUACUGACGCUGAGGCGCGAAAGCGUGGGGAGCAAACAGG
This 253-nucleotide ribosomal RNA is filed under the name uncultured bacterium. RNAcentral describes it as "partial 16S ribosomal RNA". It matches the Rfam family "Bacterial small subunit ribosomal RNA", at positions 524 to 776 of the family's 1533-position model. The record is from RNAcentral.